This 90-nucleotide transfer RNA is filed under the name Candidatus Phascolarctobacterium caballi. RNAcentral describes it as "tRNA-Ser". It matches the Rfam family "tRNA". Rfam says of the family: Transfer RNA (tRNA) molecules are approximately 80 nucleotides in length. Their secondary structure includes four short double-helical elements and three loops (D, anti-codon, and T loops). Further hydrogen bonds mediate the characteristic L-shaped molecular structure. tRNAs have two regions of fundamental functional importance: the anti-codon, which is responsible for specific mRNA codon recognition, and the 3' end, to which the tRNAs corresponding amino acid is attached (by aminoacyl-tRNA synthetases). tRNAs cope with the degeneracy of the genetic code in two manners: having more than one tRNA (with a specific anti-codon) for a particular amino acid; and 'wobble' base-pairing, i.e. permitting non-standard base-pairing at the 3rd anti-codon position. The record is from RNAcentral. Lineage: Bacteria; Bacillati; Bacillota; Negativicutes; Acidaminococcales; Acidaminococcaceae.
GGAGAGAUGACCGAGUGGUCGAAGGUGCACGCCUGGAAAGCGUGUGUGCAGGAAACUGUACCAAGGGUUCGAAUCCCUUUCUCUCCGCCA